This is a long non-coding RNA of Triticum dicoccoides, 736 nucleotides long. RefSeq lists it as uncharacterized. The transcript has 2 exons. NCBI's taxonomy places the organism in Eukaryota, Viridiplantae, Streptophyta, Magnoliopsida, Poales, Poaceae. The record is from RefSeq and is a predicted model, not a curated record.
CAUUUUGGUCCCGAUUCACUCGCUCCCGAGAGAGAGCUCGACUGCGGCGGCGACGGCGAGGCGUGCCCGCAGAUAAGACACGGCGGCGCGGCGGAGCAGCGUGCACAAGGACUUCGUCCCGCGCGCUCCUCCGUCGAGCGUAGCUCCGGUGACGCGGCGACGCAGUUGUGGGGCAUUUCGCCGGCGGCUGCCGGCGCAAGCUUUUGGCGGCGGCGACAUCCGAGGCGCGGAGGCCAGGCGAUGCGCACGUGCAUGAGAAUGGCAGCGGCGGCUGCUGCUUCAUUCCACGAGCCACCGCGAAGGGCGGCGGCGUCCUGGCCAUGGCGUGCGCGCACGACAGUGGCCGUGCGGACCCCGAAGGCCGGCAUCAUCUUGCUUUGGCGGCCGCUUAGCCGGCCCAGGGAGAGAGACGCCAUCACCUCCAUCAUCACCCAGCUAAUGGCCCUCCGAUUGACACCGCCGCUUCCCCCACCUCCUCCGGAACCAGAUUAGAUCGUCAUGUCGUCCACUCCGCCGCCAUCGUCUCGGAUUGUGUCUUCGUCCUUUUGUGUUGGGCGUGAUGUGCCGUGCCCACAACGAAACUUGGGUAUUGUGUGUGUGUCCGUGCUUGUUGGUGUGGUUCCUGACUUGCGGUGGCGUUGCGUUUGUGUGUGCGCUGUGUUCUGUUGUUACCUUGAUACUUUGUGCUUGGUGGGUGCUUUAUUUAUAAAGCGGGGCGAAAGCCUUUUUCGGUACA